RNAcentral lists this ribosomal RNA (873 nucleotides) under Triticum aestivum (bread wheat). RNAcentral's name for it is "partial small subunit ribosomal RNA". Lineage: Eukaryota; Viridiplantae; Streptophyta; Magnoliopsida; Poales; Poaceae. The record is from RNAcentral.
AUGAUUCCAGGACCAGGAAUCAUACCAGCCGAUGGGUGGUGGUUUAUCGCUCGUUUAGCUAACGGCGGUCAUUUGAUGCUCAUUCGCACGUACCAAAUUGACCAAACCAUUACAUCAAACCACAUGCAGUACAAUGCCUGGGGCGUUCGUGACAUUGAUGGCUAUGGUUGCUUCGUGUUCGAGAAAGAUCCCAGCUCCGUUGGGCCAGGCGUAUUCAACUGGAGGCGGGUUUACAGCCUCGGUAACCACUCCAUGUUCCUCGGGCUGAAUCAUCCGAUCAUCCAACCAAUCAUCAAUCAUAUCACCGGCCAUGAUUACCAUGCUAUGCAACUUCCAUUCGCCAGGGGAACUGUGUUUACACAUCAUACCAUGGGUUUCAUGAAUCACCAUAUCCAGAGAUUCAUCGACACAGCUUGUUGCCAGUAUCAUAUAACUGGAAUUAAUCGAUGCAAGUCCAAGAAGGAUUGGCCAGUGCUGCCGGCUGGCGUCAAGUUUGAUCCCACGGAUCAGGAGCUGAUCGAGCACCUUGAGGCCAAACGCAAUUCCAGGGAGUUCAAAAGGGGCACGUGGACGCGUCGCAAGAUACAGUCGAAGGUCAGCAUGCAUGCGAUGUGGCACAAGACUGGCAAUACCUUGCCGAUGAUGGUCAACGGUCGGCAGACGGGCAGCAAAAAGGUUCUGGUGCUGCACAGCAACAAGAACUUCGACCAGCAGAGGACCAACUGGGUGAUGCUAGAGCGAGAGAAGGAGCGGGAGCUGUUAUCAGUCUGUACUUGUAGAAUUCUCUCAUUUACUGAGCAGGCCCAGCCCAUGACAACAACGGGGCACAAAGAUCCAGCAGGUAUCUACUGGCCUCUAGCCUGCCAGCGUUAG